UUCCUACGGGACGCAGCAGUGGGGAAUAUUGCACAAUGGGGGGAACCCUGAUGCAGCGACGCCGCGUGGGUGAAGGAGUACUUCGGUACGUAAAGCCCUAUCAGCAGGAAAGAAAAUGACGGUACCUGACUAAGAAGCCCCGGCUAACUACGUGCCAGCAGCCGCGGUAAUACGUAGGGGGCAAGCGUUAUCCGGAUUUACUGGGUGUAAAGGGAGCGUAGACGGCAGUGCAAGUCCGGAGUGAAAGGCGGGGGCCCAACCCCCGGACUGCUCUGGAAACUGUAUGACUUGAGUGCAGGAGAGGU
This 305-nucleotide ribosomal RNA is filed under the name uncultured bacterium. RNAcentral's name for it is "bacterial SSU rRNA". It matches the Rfam family "Bacterial small subunit ribosomal RNA", at positions 336 to 658 of the family's 1533-position model. The record is from RNAcentral.